UUGCUUGUAUACUAUCUAGUGUACCAGUAGAAAGAUGGAAACUUACCAAGUGAAAACUUUCAAAUUCAGAGAAACCCUGGAAUUCACAAAGCGCAAUCCUGAGCCAAAUCCUGUUUUCUGAAAACAAAAGAAAAGUUCAGAAAGAAAGUGAUAAUAAAAAAGGGAUAGGUGCAGAGACUCAAUGGAAGUUGUUCUAACAAAAAGGAGUUGGCAAUUUUUCCUUUUUGCAUUAGGAAAAGAAUCCUUCCG
This is a non-coding RNA of Glycine soja, 249 nucleotides long. The record is from Rfam. NCBI's taxonomy places the organism in Eukaryota, Viridiplantae, Streptophyta, Magnoliopsida, Fabales, Fabaceae.